UAGAUAACUUGAAGUUUUACUUAAUUAAAACUUGCCAACUGUGUGCGUAACCGUGACUGUCUCUUUCGUGAGUUCCUUCUCCGAUCGAGGACACGGUGGGAUUAUGUCUGAAGUAGGAAGGUGUUCAGGAUCAUUGAUUUGAUCAUCAGUAGUCACGUCCGCUAUGCGUAGAUCUUCCCCCUCUUAUAUCUUGUACUCGUAAGUUUAGCCACCAAAUAUAUGGUUACCCGCUGCUGCAACCUCACCACUUAACCAUGCCUCA
RNAcentral lists this long non-coding RNA (262 nucleotides) under Hordeum vulgare. RNAcentral's name for it is "long non-coding RNA (HVUL_LNC007190)". The record is from RNAcentral. Lineage: Eukaryota; Viridiplantae; Streptophyta; Magnoliopsida; Poales; Poaceae.